Long non-coding RNA from Drosophila willistoni, 467 nucleotides. RefSeq lists it as uncharacterized. The transcript is spliced from 2 exons. The record is from RefSeq and is a predicted model, not a curated record. NCBI's taxonomy places the organism in Eukaryota, Metazoa, Arthropoda, Insecta, Diptera, Drosophilidae.
GUUAUCGACGGGUCAGCUCCGGUGAGCUAUCGACUUGGGUCGUGACCACAGUAACCCACCCCUAACAUACGCCGCAAUAAGUAAAUAAAUUAACAGACAACAGACAGAAAUCGAAAACCAAAAGGAAGCACCCGACCAAACAGGAGGAGAAGGAACAUAAGACGGUGGCACCACAGACAUACUAGGGAAAACGCCCGCACUACCCAAAGGCAACACAAAGACCUUGGAAUGAUGCAAGCCUCACCGCGGGAUUCAGGUAACUUUUCCCUCUACUUUUCCAGAUCCUUCGGAUUUGGCCGCAUCACAUGCAAAUUGCAAAAAUGAAGAAUACUUGACCAAUAACAGCAAAGCGUUUAAAUGUAUUUUGCUACUGAGCUACUCUUCUAUCCUUCAUUUUAUCACGCAAUUUGUUUAUUGACUAUUAGUUAGGUUUCACAAUUUUGUUAAUAAACGAAUCCAACGCCUAA